UAUGGGAUGGAUGGUGCCUGGCACGUUGCUCCUGAGGGGUUUGCAUCCACCACGGCCCGGGCGUUGGGGUUGCAACCGGCAUUUUGUGAGCGGGGGGGGUUGGCAGCUGCCGCGGUGCACACAGCGGGCUCGCACCCAUCCCGUCACUCAUGACACGGCGCGUGCCGUGCCUUCGCAUCGAUCCCGCCACCACGAUGGCUUUGCAUCCGUCACGACGCUUACGAUGGGCUCAGCACCUCUCUCUGCUUCUCCCAUAGGUGCUGAGCGGCCCCGGCACAGGGACCGCGGGCUGCGGGGCGCCGCGAUGCCCGCCCGGAGAGGAACCCGUCGGGGUAAGCGGCGCAAAAAGCGGCGCCUCCAUCCUAGGAGCCAGGAGCCGACCGCGGCACGGCUGCCGUGCGGGCUCCAUCCAUCCCUCACCUCUCUUUCCACCCGCGCAGGCGUGCGGCUCGGCACAGACGUGCCGCCCGUGCCCCCCUGGCGCUUUCUCCCCGGGGGACGCGCCGUGCGCCCCGCACACCCGCUGCCACGCCGCCAACCGGCUCCUCCUGGCACCAGGGACGGCGGCGGCCGACAGCCGCUGCGGAGGCUGCGUGCACGGGUUUUACAGCCCUGAUGGCGAGAGGGAGCCCCGGGGCCGGUGCCUGCCCUGCUCCGCCGCCCCCCCCAGCACCCCGGGGUGCCCAGGUGGGUGCAGGACGGUGCUGUCGGGUGCUCGGGCUGGGAGGUUUCGGCUUUGUUGCAUCGCGGGGUGCAACAUCGCGGGAUGCAGGAUCGGCGCGCGCCGUCCCCUACCCCACGCCGCUGUCACCUGGGGGCUGUGGGUGGCAUCCUGCCCACCCGGUGGCAGCUGAGGACGCUUCCCCUCGUGGCACAUGUGGGGGAACUUUGCCAAAAAAAAAACCCACCACUUCUGGUGCUUACUGCAGGCCAGCGGCGAGCCCGGAGCGCGGCAGCACCGCGGGGGCCGGCGGGGAGCAACGGGACGCGGGAGGCUCGGCCGGAGGAGGCGGCGGCGGCGCAGUCGGCCGUGCUGGCCAUCGUGCCCAUCUUCUGCGCCAUGGGCUUGCUGGGCAUCCUCGUCUGCAACCUGCUGAAGAAGAAGGGCUACCACUGCACCGCGCACAAGGAGCCCGACCCCGGGGCCGGCACCGGUCCCAGCUCCGUCUACCAGAUCGAGGACGCCAACGAGGACACCAUCGGGGUCCUGGUGCGCCUGAUCACCGAGAAGAAAGAAAAUGCCGCGGCGCUGGAGGAGCUGCUGAAGGAGCAUCACAGCGCGCAGCUGGUGGCACCGGGCUGCAAACCUGCCUAUAAGUGAGACCCCCAAAACCCUACUGAGCCCCCCCCCA
Molecule: long non-coding RNA, 1352 nt
Filed under: Anser brachyrhynchus (Pink-footed goose)
Lineage: Eukaryota; Metazoa; Chordata; Aves; Anseriformes; Anatidae
Description: lncRNA (ENSABRG00000018318.1)
Source: RNAcentral